Molecule: unclassified non-coding RNA, 448 nt
Filed under: plant metagenome
Description: partial contains 5.8S ribosomal RNA, internal transcribed spacer 2, and large subunit ribosomal RNA
Source: RNAcentral
AUCCCAGUCGCUCUCGAGGGUGAGGCUGUAGCCGAGGAGAAGUCCUGUCGGCCGCGCCCCCUUGGCGGCGAGGUCGGACAGGUUCACGGCGAGAAGCUUCCAGGCGACAUCCUCAGCCGGGUCGCCCGAGAGGAAGUGCACCCCCUCGACGAUCAUGUCGUGCGUCAGGACCAACGUCCUCCCCCCGAACGGCAGCACCGCGGUAUCGUCGAGCAGGCCCCGCGCGCCCGGAUCGGUUGCGAGCGCGCGCAGAGCGGAGAUGAAGUCCGGUUCGUCCAUCAGCCCUCCCCCUCGAUGGGGGAGGGUUGGGUGGGGGUGGCGGCGGUGUAGGCCGGUGCUUCAUCGAAGGCUCCACCCCGCCCCCACCCCUUGCCAUCAAGGAGAGGGGCUUUACCCAGCGCUUCGUUGAUGCGCUGCCAGAUGCCGUCGGGAUUGCCGAGUACCGCGU